GUUGGGAGUGACUCAUGACGCACGGGAAAGGCCCUGCCCCGCAGGAAUCGGAAGCUGAACAGGAGGGUGCAAUCCCAAUUCUGUGCCAGGACACUGUCUUGCCCCACAUAUCACGGCAUACCUGGGCGGGGUGGGUGAGAUGUUGAGAAGGAAACAGGCCAAGUGAGAGAUCAUACCAUGGCCAUUCAAGGAAGGAACAUGAUCAAGAGGUGACCCCGCGGCUUAUGACUUCCAGGUGUAGCUGUCUCUGUUCCGAAUCAGUGCUUACAACAGGACUCUGCAACUUCAGUAUAACUGAAGAGCUAAACAACGUUAACAUGUGAAGGAAGAGAUUCAUAAGGAGUCAGUAGAAGAAAGCCCACUUGGAUAACUGAAGCUAUUCGCCUUAACAUUACUGAUAACUGACAUGCUGAUUAGUAAUCCUUUUAGUUUCUUUGGCAAAAUACUGGUUGCUGCAGAACCUAUAUUAGGAAGUGGUGUACACAGUGGUGGGAUCCAAACAUUUUAGUAACAGGUUCCCAUGGUGGUGGGAUUCAAACUGUGGCGUAGCGCC
Molecule: long non-coding RNA, 553 nt
Organism: Sphaerodactylus townsendi
Lineage: Eukaryota; Metazoa; Chordata; Lepidosauria; Squamata; Sphaerodactylidae
Exons: 3
Source: RefSeq, a predicted model, not a curated record